This is a non-coding RNA of Sporothrix brasiliensis 5110, 95 nucleotides long. The record is from the annotation of a RefSeq genome assembly. NCBI's taxonomy places the organism in Eukaryota, Fungi, Ascomycota, Sordariomycetes, Ophiostomatales, Ophiostomataceae.
GAUCGUGUGGCCUAGUGGUUAGGGCAUGUCCUUUACAGUCGUAAAACUUUAAUGCUGAUCGGAUGGGAUCGCAGGUUCGACCCCUGCCACGAUCA